AUUGAACGCUGGCGGCAGGCCUAACACAUGCAAGUCGAGCGGCAGCACGGGAGCAAUCCUGGUGGCGAGUGGCGAACGGGUGAGUAAUAUAUCGGAACGUGCCCAGUCGUGGGGAUAACGUAGCGAAAGCUACGCUAAUACCGCAUACGAUCUAUGGAUGAAAGCGGGGGAUCGCAAGACCUCGCGCGAUUGGAGCGGCCGAUAUCAGAUUAGGUAGUUGGUGAGGUAAAGGCUCACCAAGCCGACGAUCUGUAGCUGGUCUGAGAGGACGACCAGCCACACUGGGACUGAGACACGGCCCAGACUCCUACGGGAGGCAGCAGUGGGGAAUUUUUGGGACAAUGGGCGCAAGCCUGAUCCAGCAAUGCCGCGUGCAGGAUGAAGGCCUUCGGGUU
Molecule: ribosomal RNA, 395 nt
Filed under: uncultured bacterium
Lineage: Bacteria
Description: bacterial SSU rRNA
Rfam family: Bacterial small subunit ribosomal RNA
Source: RNAcentral